GAGGAAUAUUGGACAAUGGAGGCAACUCUGAUCCAGCCAUGCCGCGUGCAGGAAGACGGCCCUAUGGGUUGUAAACUGCUUUUAUAUAGGAAGAAACCUUCCACGUGUGGAACUCUGACGGUACUAUAUGAAUAAGCACCGGCUAACUCCGUGCCAGCAGCCGCGGUAAUACGGAGGGUGCAAGCGCUAUCCGGAAUCAUUGGGUUUAAAGGGUCCGUAGGCGGGCUAAUAAGUCAGGGGUGAAAUCCAACAGCUUAACUGUUGAACUGCCUUUGAUACUGUUAGUCUUGAAUUAUAUGGAAGUAGAUAGAAUGUGUAGUGUAGCGGUGAAAUGCUUAGAGAUUACACAGAAUACCGAUUGCGAAGGCAGUCUAUACGUAUAUAUUGACGCUAAUGGACGAAAGCGUGGGGAGCGAACAGGAUUAGAUACCUUGGUAGUCCAC
This 443-nucleotide ribosomal RNA is filed under the name uncultured delta proteobacterium. RNAcentral's name for it is "bacterial SSU rRNA". It matches the Rfam family "Bacterial small subunit ribosomal RNA", at positions 356 to 798 of the family's 1533-position model. Lineage: Bacteria; Deltaproteobacteria. The record is from RNAcentral.